GACGAACGCUGGCGGCGUGCUUAACACAUGCAAGUCGAACGGAAAGGCCCUGCUUUUGUGGGGUGCUCGAGUGGCGAACGGGUGAGUAACACGUGAGUAACCUGCCCUUUACUUUGGGAUAACUUCAGGAAACUGGGGCUAAUACCGGAUAGGAGCUCCUGCUGCAUGGUGGGGGUUGGAAAGUUUCGGCGGUUGGGGAUGGACUCGCGGCUUAUCAGCUUGUUGGUGGGGUAGUGGCUUACCAAGGCUUUGACGGGUAGCCGGCCUGAGAGGGUGACCGGCCACAUUGGGACUGAGAUACGGCCCAGACUCCUACGGGAGGCAGCAGUGGGGAAUAUUGCACAAUGGGCGGAAGCCUGAUGCAGCAACGCCGCGUGCGGGAUAACGGCCUUCGGGUUGUAAACCGCUUUCGCCUGUGACGAAGCGUGAGUGACGGUAAUGGGUAAAGAGGCACCGGCUAACUACGUG
This 468-nucleotide ribosomal RNA is filed under the name uncultured bacterium. RNAcentral describes it as "partial 16S ribosomal RNA". It matches the Rfam family "Bacterial small subunit ribosomal RNA", at positions 28 to 507 of the family's 1533-position model. The record is from RNAcentral.